RNAcentral lists this ribosomal RNA (497 nucleotides) under uncultured bacterium. Its description in RNAcentral is "partial 16S ribosomal RNA". It matches the Rfam family "Bacterial small subunit ribosomal RNA", at positions 28 to 507 of the family's 1533-position model. The record is from RNAcentral.
GAUGAACGCUGGCGGCGUGCCUAAUACAUGCAAGUCGAGCGAACGGACGAGAAGCUUGCUUCUCUGAUGUUAGCGGCGGACGGGUGAGUAACACGUGGAUAACCUACCUAUAAGACUGGGAUAACUUCGGGAAACCGGAGCUAAUACCGGAUAAUAUUUUGAACCGCAUGGUUCAAAAGUGAAAGACGGUCUUGCUGUCACUUAUAGAUGGAUCCGCGCUGCAUUAGCUAGUUGGUAAGGUAACGGCUUACCAAGGCAACGAUGCAUAGCCGACCUGAGAGGGUGAUCGGCCACACUGGAACUGAGACACGGUCCAGACUCCUACGGGAGGCAGCAGUAGGGAAUCUUCCGCAAUGGGCGAAAGCCUGACGAAGCAACGCCGCGUGAGUGAUGAAGGUCUUCGGAUCGUAAAACUCUGUUAUUAGGGAAGAACAUAUGUGUAAGUAACUAUGCACAUCUUGACGGUACCUAAUCAGAAAGCCACGGCUAACUACGUG